GCGGGCUUAUGUCUGAAUACUCGUGCAUGGAAUAAUAGAAUAGGAUCUCGGUUCUAUUUUGUUGGUUUUCUGAUCUGAGAUAAUGGUUAAGAGGGACGGACGGGGGCAUUCGUAUCGCUGCGUGAGAGGUGAAAUUCUUGGACCGUAGCGAGACGUCCGACUGCGAAAGCAUUUGCCAAGAAUGUCUUCAUUAAUCAAGAACGAAAGUCAGAGGUUCGAAGGCGAUCAGAUACCGCCCUAGUUCUGACCGUAAACGAUACCAACUAGCGUUCCGUCGGUGGUAAAUACGCCUUGACGGGCAGCUUCCCGGAAACGAAAGUCUUUCGGUUCCGGGGGAAGUAUGGUUGCAAAGCUGAAACUUAAAGAAAUUGACGGAAGGGCACCACCAGGAGUGGAGCCUGCGGCUUAAUUUGACUCAACACGGGAAAACUCACCUGGCCCGGACACCGUGAGGAUUGACAGAUUGAGAGCUCUUUCUUGAUUCGGUGGUUGGUGGUGCAUGGCCGUUCUUAGUUGGUGGAGUGAUUUGUCUGGUUUAUUCCGAUAACGAGCGAGACUCUAGCCUACUAAAUAGUCAUCGGAUAAACAAGUUCGGAAGACUUCUUAGAGGGACAAGCGGUGUUCAGCCGCAUGAAGCUGAGCAAUAACAGGUCUGUGAUGCCCUUAGAUGUCCAGGGCUGCACGCGCGCUACACUGGAGGAAUCAGCGUGCUGUAACCAUUGCCGAAAGGUAUUGGUAACCCCUUGAAAAUCCUCCGUGAUCGGGAUCGGGAAUUGCAAUUAUUUCCCUUGAACGAGGAAUUCCUAGUAAGUGUGAGUCAUCAGCUCACGUUGAUUACGUCCCUGCCCUUUGUACACACCGCCCGUCGCUGCCCGGGACUGAGCCGUUUCGAGAAAAGCGGGGACUGCUGUUUCGAGACCUUUCGGGGUGGAGAUUCUUUGGUGGAAACCGCCUUAAUCGCAGUGGCUUGAACCGGGCAAAAGUCGUAACAAGGUUUCCGUAGGUGAACCUGCGGAAGGAUCAUUA
Molecule: non-coding RNA, 1026 nt
Filed under: Anisakis simplex (herring worm)
Lineage: Eukaryota; Metazoa; Nematoda; Chromadorea; Rhabditida; Anisakidae
Description: Eukaryotic small subunit ribosomal RNA
Rfam family: Eukaryotic small subunit ribosomal RNA
Source: Rfam by way of RNAcentral